This 95-nucleotide transfer RNA is filed under the name Sulfitobacter noctilucicola. RNAcentral's name for it is "tRNA-Sec". It matches the Rfam family "Selenocysteine transfer RNA". Lineage: Bacteria; Pseudomonadati; Pseudomonadota; Alphaproteobacteria; Rhodobacterales; Roseobacteraceae. The record is from RNAcentral.
GGAGGUGACUGGAGUCUGGUGGCUUCCCUGGUCUUCAAAACCACGGACGCGUCCUUGGGGCGUGUGGUGGGUUCGAUUCCCAUCCACCUCCGCCA